UAAACUAGGAUUAGAUACCCUACUAUUAUAAAUGUAAAUUGAUAAACCAGAGUAGUAUUAGUUAUGUGCUUGAAAUUAAAAGAAUUUGGCGGUGUUUUAUUUCUAAUCAGAGGAACCUGUUCUGUAAUUGAUAAUCCACGGUUAAUUGUACUUGUGUUAAAAGCUUGUAUACCGUCGUAGUCCGAGUAUUUUAAAAGAAUUUAAUAUUCAAGAUUUAAAAUUAAAAAAUAAAUCAGAUCAAGGUACAGUUUAUACAUAAGAAGAAAUGGGUUACGUUGAAAUUAUUCAAAUGUGUUAACUAUUGUAAAUAGUUAACAAAAUGGAUUUGAUAGUAAUAAAAUUUAUUUUAAUUUUAUGAUUUAGUUCUGAAACAUGUACAUAUCGCCCGUCACUCCCACCUCCAAAGUGGGAUAAGUCGUAACAUAGUAGGCGUACUGGAAAGUGCGCCUGGAUUGCCAAAUCAGAGCUUGUAAGAAAGCAUUUUAUUUACAUUAAAAAGUUAAUUGUGAAAAUCAAUUUGAUUUGAAUUUAGUAAAUUAUUAUUUUUAUUUUAAAAAAAAUAAUUUUUAGUUUUAUUAUUUUUAUUGAAACAAUAUUUUUAAUUAUAGUUUAUUAGUAUAGUGAUAGAAAUUUAUUUAAAUAUGUAAAAGAAAAAUUCAAUUUUUGUACCUUGUGUAUCAGGGUUUAUUAAUCAAAAUUUAAUUAUAUUAAAUUUCUCGAUUUUAAAAGAGCUAAGAAAUUAUUAAUUUUACUGUUGAAUAAGUACUUAUAAUAAUUUUUUUGUAAUGAAACGUUAGUCGUUUUUAAUUAUAUCUAGUUUUUUGAGAAAUAAAUUUAAUUUAGUUGUUUAAAUUUAUUAAGUUAAUUUAUUAACUUAAUAUUAUUAAGCAUGAAAUUUUUAGGGGGAUAAGCUUCUAUGAAUACACUUAUAAAUAUUAGAUUUUAUUAAAUAUCUAUAGGAUUAAAAAUGUCCAUUAUUAAUAGUAUGUUACAAUUAAUAUUUUUAUGAAUAUAAUUUAUAAUCAAUUUUAAGUUUUUUAUCAAAAUAAUUUAAUUAAUAGUAAAUUAAAUGAAAUAAUGAUAAAAUUAGUAUAAAUUCAAUGUAUUUUUAAUUUGCAUUUGAAAGGUUAAGUUAAGGAAUUCGGCAAUUCUUUUUUCCGCCUGUUUAUUAAAAACAUGGCCUUUUGAUUAUAAUUUAAGGUCUAGCCUGCCCACUGAUUAUUUAAAUGGCCGCGGUAUUUUGACCGUGCAAAGGUAGCAUAAUAAUUAGCUUUUUAAUUGAAAGCUGGAAUGAAUGGUUGAACGAGAAAAAGUGUCUCUAUUUAAUUUUUUUAGAAUUUUAUUUUUGAGUUAAAAAGCUCAAAUGAUUUUGAAAGACGAGAAGACCCUAUAGAGUUUAAUAUUAAUUAAGUUUAUGUUAAUUUGAAGGAUUAUUUAUUAAUAUUGAUUUAAAAAUAUUUGGUUGGGGUGAUUAGAAAAUUGAAUCAACUUUUCUUAAAGUGUUAACAUUAAUUUAUGUUUGAUUGAUCCAUUUAUUAUGAUUAAAAGAAUAAAUUACCUUAGGGAUAACAGCGUUAUUUUUCUUGAGAGUUCUUAUCGAAAGAAAAGUUUGCGACCUCGAUGUUGGAUUAAAAUUUACUUUUGGUGCAGCAGCUAGAAAGUUAGGUCUGUUCGACCUUUAAAAUUUUACAUGAUCUGAGUU
This 1702-nucleotide ribosomal RNA is filed under the name Gilletinus sp. NLG-2014. RNAcentral describes it as "partial 16S ribosomal RNA". The stretch from base 1565 to 1702 matches the Rfam family "Archaeal large subunit ribosomal RNA", at positions 2544 to 2682 of the family's 2987-position model. Lineage: Eukaryota; Metazoa; Arthropoda; Insecta; Coleoptera; Geotrupidae. The record is from RNAcentral.